RNAcentral lists this ribosomal RNA (625 nucleotides) under uncultured euryarchaeote. RNAcentral describes it as "bacterial SSU rRNA". It matches the Rfam family "Archaeal small subunit ribosomal RNA", at positions 21 to 647 of the family's 1478-position model. Lineage: Archaea; Methanobacteriati; Methanobacteriota. The record is from RNAcentral.
UGANCCUCGUUUCGGNGUCCGAUUUAGCNUGCUAGUCGCACGAGUUCAUACUCGAGGCAUAUAGCUCAGUAACACGUGGCCAAACUACCCUAUGGACAACGAUAACCUCGGGAAACUGAGGCUAAUAGUUGAUACUGCUCCCAUGCUGGAACAGCAGGGAGCUGGAAACGCUCCGGCGCCAUAGGAUGUGGCUGCGGCCGAUUAGGUAGACGGUGGGUAACGGCCCACCGUGCCUACAAUCGGUACGGGUCAUGAGAGUGAGAGCCCGGAGACGGUAUCUGAGACAAGAUACCGGGCCCUACGGGGCGCAGCAGGCGCGAAACCUUUACACUGCACGACAGUGCGAUAGGGGGACUCCGAGUGCGAGGGCAUACAGUCCUCGCUUUUCUGUACCGUAAGGUGGUACAGGAACAAGUGCUGGGCAAGACCGGUGCCGGCCGCCGCGGUAAUACCGGCAGCACGAGUGAUGGCCGAUCUUAUUGGGCCUAAAGCGUCCGUAGCCGGCCAGACAAGUCCGUUGGGAAAUCGACGUGCCUAACACGUUGGCGUNCAGCGGAAACUGUCUGGCUUGGGGCCCGGAAGACUCGAGGGGUACGUUCGGGGUAGGAAUGAAAAUNCCGUAAUU